Molecule: long non-coding RNA, 513 nt
Organism: Sinocyclocheilus rhinocerous
Lineage: Eukaryota; Metazoa; Chordata; Actinopteri; Cypriniformes; Cyprinidae
Exons: 3
Source: RefSeq, a predicted model, not a curated record
UGCGCGAGGACAGGACGGGGCGGGGGCUGGCCAGCGGCGACCUUUUCUCUGUAUUUCUCCUUCUUUUGUCCCUUAAAACACCCUCAUCAUCCCCGAAACGCACCGAACGGGCUUCCCGCGGCUGGAGAGCACCGUCACCGGCGGGAUUGCGGCGAAAGGGCUCGCGGCCUCCGCGGGAAAGUUUCUGACAGGCGCUCGUGACAGCGGCGGGAAUCUCGCGCGGAUUCGGCGCGGAUAACGGAGAAAUAACGUCAAAUACUGUCGAAGUUCGUGUGUAAAUAUAAAUAGAGUGAAAGUCCGAGCCGGGGAGCCGCAGCGCCCCCGCCGGUAACCUCACGGUAACCUCACGGGAAACUCUCCAGCGACACACCGGCGAUCAGCGGAACUCGGUGAAGGAUGGCCGCCUCAGUGAAGGUAGCGGUGAGAGUUCGGCCCUUUAACUCCCGCGAAACCAGCCGAGAUGCUAAAUGUGUCAUACAGAUGCAGGGAAACACCACCUGUGAUCUGGAGCCC